Molecule: ribosomal RNA, 588 nt
Filed under: uncultured bacterium
Lineage: Bacteria
Description: partial 16S ribosomal RNA
Rfam family: Bacterial small subunit ribosomal RNA
Source: RNAcentral
UGGGGAAUUUUGGACAAUGGGCGAAAGCCUGAUCCAGCAAUGCCGCGUGUGUGAAGAAGGCCUUCGGGUUGUAAAGCACUUUUGUCCGGAAAGAAAUCCUUGGCUCUAAUACAGUCGGGGGAUGACGGUACCGGAAGAAUAAGCACCGGCUAACUACGUGCCAGCAGCCGCGGUAAUACGUAGGGUGCAAGCGUUAAUCGGAAUUACUGGGCGUAAAGCGUGCGCAGGCGGUUUGCUAAGACCGAUGUGAAAUCCCCGGGCUCAACCUGGGAACUGCAUUGGUGACUGGCAGGCUAGAGUAUGGCAGAGGGGGGUAGAAUUCCACGUNUAGCAGUGAAAAUGCGUAGAGAUGUGGAGGAAUACCGAUGGCGAAGGCAGCCCCCUGGGCAAAUACUGACGCUCAUGCACGAAAAGCGUGGGGAGCAAACAGGAUUAGAUACCCUGGUAGUCCACGCCCUAAAACGAUGUCAACUAGUUGUUGGGGAUUCAUUUCCUUAGUAACGUAGCUAACGCGUGGAGUUGACCGCCUGGGGAGUACGUCGCAAGAUUAAAAACUCAAAGGAAUUGACGGGGUCAUAGCUGUUUCCU